UACGUAGGUGGCAAGCGUUGUCCGGAUUUACUGGGUGUAAAGGGCGUGUAGGCGGGUUGUCAAGUCAGAUGUGAAAUUCCAGGGCUCAACCCUGGAGCUGCAUCUGAAACUGAUGAUCUUGAGUACUGGAGAGGGAAGCGGAAUUCCUAGUGUAGCGGUGAAAUGCGUAGAUAUUAGGAGGAACACCAGUGGCGAAGGCGGCUUUCUGGACAGUAACUGACGCUGAGGCGCGAAAGCGUGGGGAGCAAACAGG
RNAcentral lists this ribosomal RNA (253 nucleotides) under uncultured bacterium. RNAcentral describes it as "partial 16S ribosomal RNA". It matches the Rfam family "Bacterial small subunit ribosomal RNA", at positions 524 to 776 of the family's 1533-position model. The record is from RNAcentral.